This 10918-nucleotide long non-coding RNA is filed under the name Gallus gallus (chicken). The record is from RNAcentral. Lineage: Eukaryota; Metazoa; Chordata; Aves; Galliformes; Phasianidae.
UGUAACUACUGAGCAGCACCAAAUCUAAACUUAAAUUUUGGUGCUCUUUUUAAAAAAAAUCUAAGUUCAGUGGAUUUUCAAGCGUAGAAACAUUUUGCACCAAGCAUGGUACCAGUUUAGCCCCCAUAUUCAUUGCAGGAUCAGUGCUUGUAAAUUGUGUGUCAGGUUUGUUUAAUUACAUCAUCCACGGUCGCACGCUGCCUGAAUGUGCAAUACCAGUGGAAUCUGACACAAGGUGGCCUUCUGAUGACAGAAGAGACUAUUCAAAUGCUAACAAAUUGUUCCAAAUUGAGUUGAGGUCUACUGUACUGCAUGUUGUGGGUGCAAACCAGAGCCCUGCAUUACCCUCAGGAAGAUGUUGGUUUCACUAAUGCCCCUGCUAGGCUGGCAUCUAAAAUGUUUCAUUGCCAUCUGCCUACUCAGAAAAUCCUUACGUGCUUGAGUAUUUUUCUGAAGAAAAAUGAGACUACUAAAUACACUUAGGCUUGAGGGAUUCAAAUGAAACAGCCGUGUUCUAAUUCUUGUGUUAGUUGAUAUUUCGAUAUUAACACAAAGUCUGCCGUUUUCUACAGAUCCAUUUCAGAGUGCUGACACUACAAUACACUCAUAUUCUGCAAAUAAAUAAUGCACAUUCCAGGCCUUCUCAAGGUUAGGCAGAGAGCUAAAUCCUAAAUCUGGAACUCAGUUUUCUAAAUCCUUUUUAAUGGCCCCAGUGAGUGGAUUAAUUGAUAGGAAGCUUCUCAGGCUUUCUGAGAGAGUAAAAUGGCUGUCUGAUGCCAGUUGGGAAGUUCUGCACUCAGAACUUCAAAAGAAAGUUCAAAAGAACCUCAAAAGAAAACAGGUACUUUUCUUAAACUCAGAAUUAGAUAUCAGCAUGUCUAGGAAAGGUUGAACUUAAGCCCCCAUUUCCAUCCUGUGAACCUAAGUUGCUACCUGUAGGCUGAGUACUGUGGCAGUCAUUUCAAAGCAUCUUGCAGUGCUCUGAUGAUACCACAGCAGAAACUUCAUAAUCCAUUUUGGGUCUGUGAUUCUGCUAGGGGACAAAUGAAUAUAAGCACUCUGCAAAUUUGUCUGUUUUAGUAAUACCAGAAAAACUCUUCUCUGUUUCACGCUUUGCAUUUUUCAUAGGUUAUUUUGCUUGACAAAUUUUUCUGUUGUCUCCUCAUCACCUAAUAAGUUCCAUUAUGUGAAAUUGCAAAGCACAAAACUAGAAAUAUUUCUUGUAGACAUUUAGCAAGGCUGAGCAAGUACCUCACAAAAGUGAAUAAUUUACUUAAUUCCUUUUAACCUUUUUGCUCCCUAAUGUCUGUGAAUAUAUUAUUUUUCUCAAAAUACAUUUUUAUUCUUUUUUCCUGUUUAAACAGCAUAGUAUAAUAUGUAAGUAGAUUUUAUUUACAUUGAUUUAUCUGCUUGACAUUAUUCAGCUUGACUAUGUAAAGCUAAAUUAAAAAAAGGGUGUUUGGAAGAGUGUGCUGGAAACAAAUCAGUGGUUAGAGUUAGGAAAAUAUCUUGUAACUUGAUAGUAGGAAAAUAAUAUCUGAGCCAGCAGAAGGAAAAAUAUCAAGAAACUAAGAAAUAUUCAUUUUAGUGAACAUACACCUAAGCACAGACUAGAUAAUGUGCAGAUAUUUGAGCAGGCAGGGCAAAAAAUAGUACAGGUGAAGAGAGCUAUCCUAAUCCUACAGAGGUUGCAUGGUGAUGUGUAAUUCAAGCAAAUGCAGGGAAAAUAAAUGUCCUUGAACAACCUACGGGACGUGUUGCUUGAGAGAGCAGGUAACACUGAUGAUCCAGCUCAGGGGCAGUACAGUUUAUCUGGGAAUGCAGAGGGAAGGUAUGAAGUAGUCUUAUGAGACUGGUAGGCAAUCAAAGGAGCUUGCAAUAAGAAGUCUCUGCUAGCACAACCAUACAGCAAGGAUAGGGUGCCUGAUAGAUGAUGAAUUUCAGCUGGAUCACAGAUUUUAAAUUUUCCUGGAGAGGGAAACUCGGAAGGAGAGAGAUUGUGACUGCAGCUUGUCUCUGAGCCGUGACAGAUGUUUAGAACUAGAAAUUAAUCUGAUAUUUCGCCUUUGAAUACUACUUAGGUGACAAAGUUGAUGAAUUAAUGGAGCAUGAAGAUGCAUCCUCAUUUCAAAAUUUCAUAUUGACAGUUUCUAAAUCUAGGGAUGUUUUUCUCUAGUAUAAACAAACAAACUGCCCGUGCCUACCACCUGUAUACUACAGACAACUAUAACUGAGAGGCAAAAGACAGUAGUGCUUUAACUCCUAUGGGUUUUAUUAUUUGUUAAACACAACAGGAAUGUGAACAAUUUUGCAUCUAAUAAAUGCAUACUGACUGCAGCAUUAGGGGAAUGUAGAGUCUUGGGAGCUAGAGAAAAAAUAUAGAGCUUGUAAUGACAACAUAAUGCAUGUAAGUCAUACCAUUUUGAGAAUCGUUAUAUAUAGAUGGGACAUUAUUUAUUAUAGAUGGGAGCUUGGUAUAAGUAAGAAUACCUAUGGAUUUUCACCUUUCCUUGAAAUGUAUAAAUGGUGCAUAGAUGUUAAAUUCAUUAUGGUCUCUAGGGAGACAGAGCUGUUCAUUUUUAAACUGGUUAGUUUAGGUUCUUAUUGAUGAAAUACUUAAUAGCAGUAAGUACAUCAAGAUUAGAUAAUAAGCAGAUUGCCUGUCUGCAGCAAAAAGCAUUUACAAGUAGCCAUUUUUUCUUUUUUUUCCGUAUACAAAAUGCCAUUUAAUUAGAAAAUUUAAAAAUGAAAUUAAUUUUGUUAUUCCAUAAAUGGAAAAUGGUUUUAAGUCUCUGCAGUAAAAUAUGCUGCAGACAGAUACUAUUAAAGAACGGUAAUAUUGAAGAACAAAUGGACAGCAGCAUGCAGGCUGUUCUUCAGGAUAUGUAAAAUGAUAAAGUCAAUGGUACUAUCUGUAGGUUUGUCUACUAAAACAUUUAUAGUGAACUAUAAAAGUUAAGAAAAUAUAACCAUUUGUUGGGCUGCUAUUUACAUUUACCAGAAUUUGUAUAGGCUUGGACCUUCUCUGGGAGUUUAGAAAUUAGGGAGUGGAAUCAUAUUAAUCCUAGACAUAAGACAUGAACAUUAGAUCAUUCAGAGAAAAGUGCUUUGCUGUGGGCUAUUUUGUGCCUAUUUUGUGAAUAAAUAGAGAAAAAUAGUCACCAGAGAUACCAGGUAUUAUCACAAAGACUGAAAGACACUGCAAAAUUAAAGUACAAAGAGAACAGGUUAUGUUAAAUCAUUCUCUGGGUACCAAGUGUAAAUCACAUGGAAUGGACUUCCGCUGAGAAGAGAUUCAGCACACCUCUUGUGUUAGCAUGUUACAUGCUGUUAAAUUUGCUGACUUCAUGAAAAACAAGUCCUCUUCUGUACUAAGACUCAGCUUUAAAUCUCAAAGGAUUAAUGUGCACAUCUAAGAGACAUUAUCACCAACAGAACUGACUUGUUAUGGCUAAUAAUACCUACAGCUCCCUAGCACUAUUACCUUUAUUAUCUGCAUUUACUGAAUUACAGAAAAACGUCCCCCUCCCCAGCUUCACAAACAUGAGUUCUGGAGUGAUUUUUUUAAACAAACAAUUAAAAAACUCAAAAUCAGAUAGCCUAUUGGCAGUUCCAGCUGAAUAAUCUAGCCGUGGAUGUCCCUGUUCAUUGCGAGGGAGUUAGAUUAGAUGACCUUUAAAGGUCCCUUCCAACUUUAGGGAUUCUGUGAUACAGCAAUUUUUUUUAAAUUUUUUUUAACUGCAGUGUUCUUUAUGUUCGUUUUAUUGAAGCAAUGUAUGAAAAACAUAAUACAGGUUUUAGCUUAUCAUUGGUGUAUUGUAUAGACAAAAUUUAAAGCUAACUGAUAAAGUGUUUAAUAGUACAAAACUUAGGACUAACUUUUGUGAUUUGAAAAAUGACAUACAUUAUUAUCUCAGUAAACUUUUUACUUCAUUUAUGCUAUAUCUCUUGGAGCAUCCAGGAGCCAACCAGAUGUCUUGAAUUAAUUUGAGUGGGCAGGAGUCAUAAAGCUGUGCUGAUCUUACAGUAGCUACUGUACCUGAAGAUCUUAUCCCUUUGCUUUUAUGGAUAAUUUAUCUUUGGCUGAAGGUCAAGAUUGGUCUGUUCAAUAAGCAAUUUAAAAUUGAAGUCUGUAAUAAGAGUUUAGUAAAGAUUUGUCAUUCUGCUGCAGAAAGUGAUUAGAUAUAUGUAGUUGAUUAUAUUUUCCAUGUAAUGGCCUGCAUGUGUGAAGAGUCUGAAAUUACCCUAGACUGUUGUCAAAAUAGUGUAUGCAAGUGCAUUUUUUUAACACAGAUUUAGUAAUGCUUGGGGUUGUGUUUGUUUUUAAACAGACCUUCUUUUGUGGUAUUUACCUCAGAAGCCUUAACUGUGACUUAAUGCAAUACUUGUUAUGAAGCAAUGAAAUAAUUUUUAAAAUUAGAGGUGUACAUUCAUGCAUAUUGAACUCAGGUUUCUAGGGACUUCUAAUAGAAUACUCUAUAGGACUUACUUAUUCUGGUUUAUGUCAUAUUGUCCAAACACUACUGUUGGAAAUCAGCUCCAAUGAUACUUGCAUUUAUUUAAUGGUCAAACAUGUCCAGAUUUUAAAUUAUGCUAGGUUUUCCAGGAAAAUCUUCAUCUUUACUGUGGGGGUAAUCCAUGCAGGUAACAACUGAUGUGUUUAGAAUCAAACAUUAUGGCUUCUUUGUAACACACAGCUUGGGUUGGAGAAGUAGGCUCAGGAGGGUGCAUUCAGCUAGGUUGCACCUUUACAUAUUCUGCCUUAUCAAGAUUUGAAUCAACUGAAUCAUUUUUAGUCUGUAAUGUAAUUUCCUGGGAGAGUAUAACUAGAAGACAAAACUCCAUGAACCUGAACAAUGCAAAGGAUUUACAUAAAGAAUAUAUUACUGGAAGCCAGGGGCCAGGUCACCGAGGAGGGAGGAAGCAAAGGUUGAGCUGUUUUAUUCAAAAAUAGUGAUCAAGGACCACAAGUAAUCAUUAAUAUUUUAAAAGAUCAGUUGAACCGCUUCCUAAAGGCAUAGGUUUAUUGAGAGCAAAUGUCUCCAGAGAUCCUUUAUUACAACAGCAGCUUUUUCUUACUUUAAUACAUGCAAGAAAUAAAAAAGUAAAUGAAACCCUGAGUUCCCCUUUGUAUGCUUCAUUUUGUGAAGACUGGUUUUAAAAUAUUUUACUCAAGAACGGGAAUUGCAACUUCUUUCUGUACACAUAAUUUCUUCAAGCCCAAAGUGCCAGAACCUCCAGAUUUUCGCUUUAUCAUCCUCCUGCUGUAUUGCUCAGGUUCAGCAUACUAGUGCACGCUAGUUCAUAUUCAGGAAUAUAAUGCAAACGUCAGUACAAGUUGAGAGCACUUUGGUCUCAAAAGAAGUCCUGAAGUUUCACUUGACUGUGCCUUUUCACUUGGCCUAAAUCCCUUGAUCUACUCCUAACUUGGGGCGUCACAAAGAAACACAGAAGUUGACUUAAUAGAAGGACUGAGGACACACUAUCUGGGGCACCUGCAGCCUUUGUUUGCCCCAAAGACUUUAGGAACAAAGCUCAGUGUUUCUAUUGCUGUUCUGACAGGAACAGCAAUAUAUAAAAAAAACUUUUGUAUUGCUGACAAUAUACACAGUAGAAGUAUUCAAAUACAGGAUAUAUAGGAAGCUUGGGCAAAGAAACAAACCUAUCAAGCCUCAAUGAUGACUUCUGCCAAUGUUUUUUUCACGUGUGUGUUCAUAUAUUCAUUUCUAUUCAGGUUUCUUUAUUUGCUUUUUAUUUAUGGUUCCAUGCUUGGCAUAACCCUUGCUAGCAUAUUCAGAUCUGUGAGGGAGCAACACUGAUCCUCUGUCAGAAAUCCUGCCUGUUCAGUGCCCUAGACAGGUCAUGAGCAAGCCUGAUAGCUGCCCAAGCAAUGUGGGCACCAAUUAAUGAUUACCCCAUCCAGUUUCUGGCCAUUCUUGCACCGCCCUGGGCAAUCACUGGAUGUCAUCCAGUAAGUAGUUUUUCAGCCCAGGACACUGAAGUCAGCUGGGAAGAAGCACAAAUCACAGCUAUCUGUCCUUGGCCUGUGCAAUAACAGCCCUUGGUCAAAACGCAGUCAAAGAUAAAAGAAACCCAGGGAUUUGGCAGUAUUACUUGCACUAGUGCCUGAUAUCUAUGUUGUUUGCAAAGCCACUUGGCUAAACCUGAGUUACCUUCUUGGGAUCAUUGCAUUAUAUUUUAUUCUUAUUAAUGAACCAAGAUUAUGAAGUGUGGAGAUCUACUCUACGAAAAAAAAUUAAAAUGUGAUGUCUGUUAAUUAAUAUUAAUUCAACUACUAAUUUAGUGGCUGUUUCUUUUAUAUAAUCUGCUCAAAGUCAUACCUGAUGAUGCAUAACACCCAAUCCAUUUUUUAUGAUUGAUGACAUCAGGACUUGUUAACAGUAAUAAAUACCAAAUAGCAGAUUUGAACCCCUGUCCUUCUACUUUCAUUUUUUGGGAGUUUCUUGAAAUUCAAGGUUUCAGUGGGGAAAGACAAAACCUUCCCACAAUACUAUGAAGAUAGAUGCAAUCAGUAGAGUUCUGCACUCACUUUUCUUUUAAUCUCUAUCAUUGUAGUGUCAGAAUAUAUUUAAUAUCACGUAAAUUCCAAUCUACUAAGAGAAUUAGAUUAAUUCGAUAUCCAGUGAAUGACUUCAGUGUUUUGGAACAGUGAAGCCUUUACAGUAAAGAAUUAAGUUGCUGGCCUAGCAUACUAUUAACUUCAGAUUAUUAGUGCAAAUUUCAGUACAUUAGUGUUGUGUUUAAUUUAAUGGAGCCUAGACUGCUACAAAAUUCCUGGGAGCCUGAUAGAGAAAGUUGGCACCAAAAAAAAAAAGCCUGGUCGUCACUGGCAUGCCUUGUGCAUUUUGUACAACUGUAUGUACAAAAUUGUACAAAUUGUACAAUUUAUGUGCUCUCAAAUUAAAGGUUUUUACCUAACCACUACUGUAUUAAGUAAAGUUUGCUCUAAAGAGAAGCAAGGUGAAGGUCAGUAGCCCUACAAUUUCUGCCAUACAUCGGGGCAAAGGGCUUUGGUUACCAAAGGUAGCUGGUGUGUAGGUAUAGUUAACUAUGCCCUCCCAUUAAGGCAAGUGGCAGGACCAAGUCCAGAGGUGCAAGGCUUGUGUUGGGAAAAGGCUCAAGCUCUCCCAUCCAUUUGUUUGCUACUCCUCAGCUGAGACCCUUUCACCACACUGCUGGGGUUCCUCUGAAGAACCAGGAAGAGUGCAGUCUUGCACAAGGGGUCAGCAAUGUCAGCACAAUGGCAACUCAGCAGAGGAUGGGAAUAAAAGGAAGGUCCGUCUUGUAGUAUUUACAGUCUCCCAUACAAUGAUCUCUCUCACCUUAAUCUUUUUCACUUUCUUGCCCACUUACUACAUAGCUUUCAUUGUGAGGAAGAAAUUUUCAAAAGUGACAUAAACCACAUUUUUGAUCUGUGCCAAACACUGCAGUAUGGCAUGACUUCGGCAGACAACUUCUAAAUCUGAAAAUUACUGUAGUGCUGAAGCAAUGAAAUAAAAGAUGAAAAUGUUUACAGCUGCUGUAUGUCAGAUUCAAAGUUUAUAUUUGAAACAUGACAGUAAAAUAUUAGAACAUCGGUUGCAUAAAACCGGGUUAUCAAAACAAUGCAGCUCAAACAUAACAUGUCUAGACAUAAAUUUAUUUUGGCCAAAGUAAUUUCGAGGACUGAGAAAUAGAAUAUAAACUAGUUGUAUGACAUACCAAGGAUCUAUGAUUUUCAGAAGCAUGUUAUUCCUAUAUGCCUGCUAGCUGAGAAUAAAAUUAGAGAUUAUUGUGGUUGACUGGCUAAAAUCAGAACAGGGCUUAGCAAUUACAAUACCUAAAAUACAAGAGCUGAGAUAUUUGUACAUACAAUUGUGGUUCUUUUGUUUUUGUUUUUGUUUUAUACUCAGAGUACAUCUAAUACCAAAUAAAAUUAACUCCAAAGCCACGUGUCAGUCUGGAAAUGAAGUUGUUCGUGGCUUUCAUGAAUACAAGGUCAGAAUAUCCUAAGAACAUACUCUAUCACUACACAAGAAUUUGACAGAACCCAAUAACACGUAAUUCACAACUUCACUGAAUGCUUGUCAACUCCUGCUGACAAUUAAAACUUAUCCAAUGCUACCACUUCUUACCAAAUGAGCUAAAGUAAAAGACAAAGUGAAACUGAUAAAGCAGUUAGUUUGCUCUGAGUACCGCAGAUAAUGUAGAACAGUUCAGACUUUUUUCAUGCCUAUCCUGGAAACAAAGUUAUUUUAAGUACUUAUUCAGAUUGGGGAAGAGACUCAUUUUCAUAUAGAUACUCCAUUUGCCAUUCUCUUUUCUCAAUUCUCUGUCCAGGGAUAGUUGUCUCAACUUGUACAGUGCAAUCAUCUAUGUGAUUAUCUCAGAAGAAAUUUUUCUCAGACAAACAUCCAUGGUUAGGACCCAAGAGUGAAAAGAAGAUGGAAAAAAGGCAGCAGCAGCCUCACAUUGACCCCAACACCAACAAGUUUGAAUUAGGAGGACCCAGUAGAGGCCAAAGGUUUGAUCAGAAUAUGUGAGGAAUCCAGCAAGAAAAUAAUUUUCUUUAGACAAAGCUGCCUUGAAGUUGGAAAUCAAUUUUGAUGACACAUUUGGGGGGGCAGCCAUAUCAUCGCAGUUAGACAGAUAUAGCCACGAUGCUGUCUGAGGAGGGCGUAACUUCCUCACUAACCAGUUACUUGCAGGAGAAUUCAGUCGCACGGAAAAGAGGAGAUAAAAGGUACUUACUGCAACUGUAAUUGUUCUUUAAGUUGUUGUAUUUAGAGUGGAUUCCAGAAUCUGCUCCCCUGAUCACAAAAGUGUAAAUUGUAAGGGAAAUCUGGAGCAUUACAGUUUUCCAGACCUUUAUAUCUUUAUGUGGAAACAGAAACUGACACAGUAUACUUAUGCCUAGAUGAGGAACUGAGGUUCUAUAUGGUAGAAAUCAUUUUGGUAGAAAGAUCUUCAACCACUACUGCUUUUCGAGUUUAAAUGGUGAUAGAAAAUGUGGAACAGGAGGCAACAUAUUGUCAAGAGGAAAACUGUAUACCAGAAGUCAUCUGCAAUAGCCAAAGCAUACCCAACAUUUUCAUUUAUCAUCAUGGUGGUUGGUGGCAGGUGCUGAUGCACCUGCAAACUUUGGUCUGUAUCCAGUCAGUUAUUACUGACGGAACCUAAGCAUACAGAAAAACUGUGGAUGGGCUUCAGAUUUAAUUUUCUGUCAGAAACAUCCCGCAUAGCAAAGACCUGAUGCAGCACAUAGGCUCUGAAGGGUGGCACAAGGAUAAAUUUAAUGAUGUUUGCAUGAUAGCUUUAUAUUAAAAUAAGGAUAAAGAAGAAUAGCCACAUAUGGAAAAAAAAAAAGCAUGCCAUGUGUUUCUAGGUCUGUAUUUAGAGCUAAAACAUUUAUUUUCUUAUAGCUGUUUAUGAAUACAUAAGGUACACAUUUCAGAAAAAAAAAAGACGAUGCUAAACUCUCUUAAGGAAAUGACUAACACAAUUGUACCUUGAAUUCUUUAUAUUUUUUUAAAGAUAACUUAAAGUGAAAGAACACUAAAAUGACAGUAAUAGUACUUCUGUGACCAUAAGGACAGUGUGUUAUUGUGAAGCAAAUUUUAUGUGAAGUUUGAGUAAAUUUGAAGCCAAAGCCACUCCAGGCAGACCUAAAAUGAAAAGCCAUAAGGAUACUCUCCAGACCACCUAUACUCACCUAUUAUGAUGAUCUCUCAGAUACAGGACAGCUUACAAGUCUAAGGUGUAUGAAAAAAUAGCUUCUUGAAACUCAUUCAUGCCCCUGAUCAUGAUAAAUGCUCUGCUUUCAGUUUGAAUAAGGAGAUUUUAGAGAAAAGAAAAAAAAAAUGAAAAGGAGGAUGAUGAGUUCACAUGGGAAUAUUUUACAUGAGCAGAUGUUCCAAUAUUUUUUCAAGACAAAUGUUAAAUUUUCAAUUAGUUUUUUUCUCAGUAAGUUCAUGCAGAUGAGAUACUAGGAAUGGUAGCAUUACUUGGGAGACAUAGACAGAAUGAACACUGCAGCAAAGUAUUGCACUAUGUUUUCAAAUAUAAAUGCAAGCACACAACAACAGGAUGCAGGAGGACUUAUAAAGCCAAAAAAACAAAAACAAAAAAACGCUGUAACAAUUCAACUUUUCUAUGAAGGCUGGAUUUGUAAAUAUCCUAUGUCUGAAGUCACAGCCGUAGAUUAUUGAGGUUUAGUUCUAGAUUCAUUGUCUGCUGGAGUUUUCUUUUCUCUUUUUGCAUCUCCAACCACUGGCAGCAGAAAAGAGAUCAGUAAAUCACCUUUACAGAGCCAAGACAGAAAUACCAGAGGAGGUAAAGUUAGGGAUAAAUGCUACUACUUGUCUGUUUUUUUCAGAAAUGUGGUUUUGUGCCACUUAAGACAUCCUUGGUACUAUGCAUGCUGCUGGAAAUGACUGUAAUCAUUGUGCCAUUGUAUAAAGUUAGGGAGUAGUUUUCUCCUUGAUGAGUAGGAUGCAACAGAGGUAGAAUCGUUUCUUUUUCUGCAGGAUAUUAUUGACAAAGCUGAAGAAACAAUUCUUAGCUAGUGAAAACUAAUAUUUUAGGUUUCAAAGAUAAAUGCUAAGACAAGGUAUCCCAAAGCUCUUCACGUAGGAAGAGAGAAUAUUGCCUACUCUCAGAAUAUUUUCUCUCUGUGGAUUUCACUGAAAGCACCUCUUAAAUCAUUAUUAAAAUGACCAGAAUGUAAUAAUUUUAGGAAAACAGUAAGAACAAUCAUAGAUGUGUUAUCAAAAUGUUGAAAAAAGAUGAGCAAAUGUGAGCUGGAUGCACUGUUUUCUUCUAAGCAACAUAUUUACAGACAAAAUUAUGUCAAAAUGAAAUACAGUAUUUAUUUUUAAUAUAAAUAUGUGCAUUAAUGUAUUGGCAAGGAAAGAACACU